Molecule: ribosomal RNA, 229 nt
Filed under: uncultured bacterium
Lineage: Bacteria
Description: partial 16S ribosomal RNA
Rfam family: Bacterial small subunit ribosomal RNA
Source: RNAcentral
CACGUAGGUGGCAUCGUAAGUCAAAGGUGAAAGCCCUCGGCUCAACCGAGGAACUGCCUUUGAAACUGCUUUGCUUGAGUCCGGGAGGGGGGAGCGGAAUUCCCAGUGUAGCGGUGAAAUGCGUAGAUACUGGGAGGAACACCGGUGGCGAAGGCGGCUCCCUGGACCGGUACUGACACUGAGGUGCGAAAGCGUGGGUAGCAAACAGGAUUAGAUACCCUGGUAGUCC